UGAGCAACCUGCCCCUGACUCUGGGAUAAGCGCUGGAAACGGCGUCUAAUACUGGAUAUGUGACGUGACCGCAUGGUCUGCGUCUGGAAAGAAUUUCGGUUGGGGAUGGGCUCGCGGCCUAUCAGCUUGUUGGUGAGGUAAUGGCUCACCAAGGCGUCGACGGGUAGCCGGCCUGAGAGGGUGACCGGCCACACUGGGACUGAGACACGGCCCAGACUCCUACGGGAGGCAGCAGUGGGGAAUAUUGCACAAUGGGCGCAAGCCUGAUGCAGCAACGCCGCGUGAGGGAUGACGGCCUUCGGGUUGUAAACCUCUUUUAGCAGGGAAGAAGCGAAAGUGACGGUACCUGCAGAAAAAGCGCCGGCUAACUACGUGCCAGCAGCCGCGGUAAUACGUAGGGCGCAAGCGUUAUCCGGAAUUAUUGGGCGUAAAGAGCUCGUAGGCGGUUUGUCGCGUCUGCUGUGAAAUCCGGAGGCUCAACCUCCGGCCUGCAGUGGGUACGGGCAGACUAGAGUGCGGUAGGGGAGAUUGGAAUUCCUGGUGUAGCGGUGGAAUGCGCAGAUAUCAGGAGGAACACCGAUGGCGAA
RNAcentral lists this ribosomal RNA (587 nucleotides) under Microbacterium maritypicum. Its description in RNAcentral is "bacterial SSU rRNA". It matches the Rfam family "Bacterial small subunit ribosomal RNA", at positions 118 to 719 of the family's 1533-position model. The record is from RNAcentral. Lineage: Bacteria; Bacillati; Actinomycetota; Actinomycetes; Micrococcales; Microbacteriaceae.